GUACUCACUUCAGCAGCAUAUGUACUAAAACUAGAAUGAUACAGAAAAGUUAGCAUGCACAAGUUUGGUAUGCAAAUUUGUGAAGCAUUCCAUAGUUUU
This 99-nucleotide small nuclear RNA is filed under the name Mustela putorius furo (domestic ferret). The record is from RNAcentral. Lineage: Eukaryota; Metazoa; Chordata; Mammalia; Carnivora; Mustelidae.